AACGAACGCUGGCGGCAUGCCUAACACAUGCAAGUCGAACGAGACCUUCGGGUCUAGUGGCGCACGGGUGCGUAACGCGUGGGAAACUGCCCUUAGGUUCGGAAUAACUCCCCGCAAGGGGUGCUAAUACCGGAUAAUGUCUUCGGACCAAAGAUUUAUCGCCUUUGGAUGGGCCCGCGUUGGAUUAGCUGGUUGGUAGGGUAAAAGCCUACCAAGGCGACGAUCCAUAGCUGGUCUGAGAGGAUGAUCAGCCACACUGGGACUGAGACACGGCCCAGACUCCUACGGGAGGCAGCAGUGGGGAAUAUUGGACAAUGGGCGAAAGCCUGAUCCAGCAAUGCCGCGUGAGUGAUGAAGGCCUUAGGGUUGUAAAGCUCUUUUACCCGGGAUGAUAAUGACAGUACCGGGAGAAUAAGCUCCGGCUAACUCCGUG
This 433-nucleotide ribosomal RNA is filed under the name uncultured bacterium. Its description in RNAcentral is "partial 16S ribosomal RNA". It matches the Rfam family "Bacterial small subunit ribosomal RNA", at positions 29 to 507 of the family's 1533-position model. The record is from RNAcentral.